This 512-nucleotide long non-coding RNA is filed under the name Homo sapiens (human). RNAcentral describes it as "non-protein coding lnc-CHN2-4:3". Lineage: Eukaryota; Metazoa; Chordata; Mammalia; Primates; Hominidae. The record is from RNAcentral.
CCCAGAGACUCAAAGUAAAUUUUCUCUUCGGCAAAUCAGAAGGCUCUGCAUAAAUACUGCCAAUUGUUAAACAUUUACCUGCACAUACUGGGCUCAUCUUCAUUAUUGGUAAAAUGAGCUAGAUGCUAUUUUCCAUUAGCUCACACUCCAAUUCCAAUCGACCUGACCAUCAGAAGAGACAAAAAGGGAAAAUCCUGGCCAGUUCUCCCCUACCUGAUCAACCAGUAGCAUAAUCAGAUUUGCAAGACCUCAAGAAAAGAAACCUGAAAAUGCCACUGGAGGUGUGUGUUUUGCCAAAGAAAAAAGAAUCAAAAACAAAACCUGCAGGAUGAGGACAAACAAACAAAGAGCAGGGGCUCAGCCAUGAACCUUGUGAUGGAUGAGGAAAAGAUAUUCUUUUUCUCCCCUUACAGUUUCUGGCAGCCAACAUGGGGUGGCUGUGACACCCCACUAGUUCCAGAACCUGCAGAUGAGAUCCUGGGACAACCAAUAAAAAAACAACAAAAAGUUAA